GAGUUUGAUCCUGGUUCAGAUUGAACGCUAGCGGGAUGCCUUACACAUGCAAGUCGAACGGCAGCACGGACUUCGGUCUGGUGGCGAGUGGCGAACGGGUGAGUAAUGUAUCGGAACGUGCCCAGUAGCGGGGGAUAACUACGCGAAAGCGUAGCUAAUACCGCAUACGCCCUACGGGGGAAAGCAGGGGAUCGCAAGACCUUGCACUAUUGGAGCGGCCGAUAUCGGAUUAGCUAGUUGGUGGGGUAACGGCUCACCAAGGCGACGAUCCGUAGCUGGUUUGAGAGGACGACCAGCCACACUGGGACUGAGACACGGCCCAGACUCCUACGGGAGGCAGCAGUGGGGAAUUUUGGACAAUGGGGGAAACCCUGAUCCAGCCAUCCCGCGUGUGCGAUGAAGGCCUUCGGGUUGUAAAGCACUUCUGGCAGGAAAGAAACGUCAUGGGUUAAUACCCCGUGAAACUGACGGUACCUGCAGAAUAAGCACCGGCUAACUACGUGCCAGCAGCCGCGGUAAUACGUAGGGUGCAAGCGUUAAUCGGAAUUACUGGGCGUAAAGCGUGCGCAGGCGGUUCGGAAAGAAAGAUGUGGAAUCCCAGAGCUUAACUUUGGAACUGCAUUUUUAACUACCGGGCUAGAGUGUGUCAGAGGGAGGUGGAAUUCCGCGUGUAGCAGUGAAAUGCGUAGAUAUGCGGAGGAACACCGAUGGCGAAGGCAGCCUCCUGGGAUAACACUGACGCUCAUGCACGAAAGCGUGGGGAGCA
This 766-nucleotide ribosomal RNA is filed under the name uncultured Achromobacter sp. RNAcentral describes it as "bacterial SSU rRNA". It matches the Rfam family "Bacterial small subunit ribosomal RNA", at positions 9 to 770 of the family's 1533-position model. Lineage: Bacteria; Pseudomonadati; Pseudomonadota; Betaproteobacteria; Burkholderiales; Alcaligenaceae. The record is from RNAcentral.